CUACGGGUCGCUGCAGUGAGGAAUAUUGCACAAUGGGGGGAACCCUGAUGCAGCAACGCCGCGUGGAGGAUGACGCAUUUCGGUGUGUAAACUCCUUUUAUAUGUCGAGAAAAUGACGGUAGCAUAUGAAUAAGCACCGGCUAACUCCGUGCCAGCAGCCGCGGUAAUACGGAGGGUGCAAGCGUUACUCGGAAUCACUGGGCGUAAAGGACGCGUAGGCGGGUUGGAAAGUCAGGUGUGAAAUCCUACAGCUUAACUGUAGAACUGCACUUGAAACUUCUAAUCUAGAGUAUGGGAGGGGGAGAUGGAAUUAGUGGUGUAGGGGUAAAAUCCGUAGAUAUCACUAGGAAUACCUAAAGCGAAGGCGAUCUCCUGGAACAUUACUGACGCUAAGGCGUGAAAGUGUGGGGAGCAAACAGGAUUAGAUACCCGCGUAGUC
This 439-nucleotide ribosomal RNA is filed under the name uncultured bacterium. Its description in RNAcentral is "partial 16S ribosomal RNA". It matches the Rfam family "Bacterial small subunit ribosomal RNA", at positions 339 to 795 of the family's 1533-position model. The record is from RNAcentral.